AACGCGAAGAACCUUACCUGGGCUUGACAUGGAGAGGACCGUAGCAGAAAUGUUACCUCCCCGCAAGGGGCCUCUCACACAGGUGCUGCAUGGCUGUCGUCAGCUCGUGCCGUGAGGUGUUGGGUUAAGUCCCGCAACGAGCGCAACCCUUGUCGUUAGUUGCCAGCGCGUAAUGGCGGGCACUCUAGCGAGACUGCCUCGGUUAACGAGGAGGAAGGUGAGGAUGACGUCAAGUCCGCAUGGCCCUUAUGCCCAGGGCUACACACGUGCUACAAUGGCCGGUACAGAAGGUUGCCAAGUCGCAAGAUGGAGCAAAUCCCAAAAAGCCGGCCCCAGUUCAGAUUGAAGUCUGCAACUCGACUUCAUGAAGAUGGAAUUGCUAGUAAUGGCGAGUCAGCAACACCGCCGUGAAUACGUUCCCGGGCCUUGUA
This 431-nucleotide ribosomal RNA is filed under the name uncultured Chlamydiae bacterium. Its description in RNAcentral is "bacterial SSU rRNA". It matches the Rfam family "Bacterial small subunit ribosomal RNA", at positions 958 to 1385 of the family's 1533-position model. The record is from RNAcentral. Lineage: Bacteria; Pseudomonadati; Chlamydiota; Chlamydiia.